UACGUAGGGGGCAAGCGUUAUCCGGAUUUACUGGGUGUAAAGGGAGCGUAGACGGCUGUGCAAGUCUGAAGUGAAAGGCAAGGGCUCAACCUUUGGACUGCUUUGGAAACUGUGCAGCUAGAGUGUCGGAGAGGCAAGUGGAAUUCCUAGUGUAGCGGUGAAAUGCAUAGAUAUCACGCAGAACCCCGAUUGCGAAGGCAGCCUUCCGGCGCCCUACUGACGCUGAGGCACGAAAGUGCGGGGAUCGAACAGG
This 253-nucleotide ribosomal RNA is filed under the name uncultured bacterium. Its description in RNAcentral is "partial 16S ribosomal RNA". It matches the Rfam family "Bacterial small subunit ribosomal RNA", at positions 524 to 776 of the family's 1533-position model. The record is from RNAcentral.